AGAAUCAACGCUGGCGGCGUGCCUAACACAUGCAAGUCGAACGAGAAAGUGGAGCAAUCCAUGAGUAAAGUGGCGCACGGGUGAGUAACACGUGACUAACCUACCCUUGAGUGGGGGAUAACCUAGGGAAACCUGGGCUAAUACCGCAUAAUACCUUCGGGUCAAAGGAGCAAUUCGCUUAAGGAGGGGGUCGCGGCCGAUUAGUUAGUUGGCGGGGUAAUGGCCCACCAAGACUGUGAUCGGUAUCCGGCCUGAGAGGGCGCACGGACACACUGGAACUGAAACACGGUCCAGACUCCUACGGGAGGCAGCAGUGGGGAAUUUUGCGCAAUGGGGAAACCCUGACGCAGCAACGCCGCGUGGAGGAUGAAGUCCCUUGGGACGUAAACUCCUUUCGAUCGGGACGAUUAUGACGGUACCGGAAGAAGAAGCCCCGGCUAACUUCGCGCCAGCAGCCGC
RNAcentral lists this ribosomal RNA (459 nucleotides) under uncultured bacterium. Its description in RNAcentral is "SSU rRNA". It matches the Rfam family "Bacterial small subunit ribosomal RNA", at positions 26 to 518 of the family's 1533-position model. The record is from RNAcentral.